GACAGAGGUCCCGAGCGUUAGGCGGAAUCACUGGGCUUAAAGCGUGUGUAGGCGGAUCGUUAAGUGCGUUGUGAAAUCCCAUGGCUUAACCAUGGAACUGCUUGGCAUACUGGCGGUCUUGAGCCACUUAGGGGCAACCGGAACAAAUGGUGGAGCGGUGAAAUGCGUAGAUAUCAUUUGGAACGCCAAUGGUGAAAACAGGUUGCUGGGAGUGUGCUGACGCUGAGACACGAAAGCCAGGGGAGCGAGCGGG
RNAcentral lists this ribosomal RNA (253 nucleotides) under uncultured bacterium. RNAcentral describes it as "partial 16S ribosomal RNA". It matches the Rfam family "Bacterial small subunit ribosomal RNA", at positions 524 to 776 of the family's 1533-position model. The record is from RNAcentral.